RNAcentral lists this unclassified non-coding RNA (300 nucleotides) under uncultured Capnodiales. Its description in RNAcentral is "sequence contains 5.8S rRNA gene, ITS2". The stretch from base 1 to 78 matches the Rfam family "5.8S ribosomal RNA", at positions 77 to 154 of the family's 154-position model. Lineage: Eukaryota; Fungi; Ascomycota; Dothideomycetes; Capnodiales. The record is from RNAcentral.
GAGGCAGGUGAGUCAUCGAAUCUUUGAACGCACAUUGCGCCCUCUGGCAUUCCGGGGGGCAUGCCCGUUCGAGCGUCAUUAAAUCCAAUCAAGCCUGGCUUGGUGUUGGGCGGCGGGACUCCCCCGCGCCCCAAUUUCACCGGCUGGCCGUCGCCCGUCUUAGCGUUGUGACACACUUUUCGCUGGCGAUGGGAGCGGACCACGCCGUCAGAACCCAUGAAUUUCAAUCGAAAUUCGAUUAGGUUGACCUCGGAUCGGGUAGGAAUACCCGCUGAACUUAAGCAUAUCAAUAAGCGGAGG